UGCCUACAGUGAUCGAGUGAGCACGUGUGCCUCUUUCUCUGUCUUCGGAGGUGGCUGCUUUACAUCUAGGGCAAGCAAGCGCUCUUAACUCCCAUGGCGGAGCUCCUUAGCAAAAAGACGUGGCGUCUCAGGGAUGUCCUCUUCAACGAAGGAACAGAGCAGGUAGUGCGCGUACUGAAGAUUGAUCAUCCGUUCCGUCGCCAGCGCAUCACCAUCGUGCCCACUCCGCGCUACGCCAGAGAAGCGUACCUGACGGACUGGGUGUACCAACCCUACGUGAAGGAACACAUCAUGUACGUCAGCAACGACAUCUACAAUCCGUUUUACGUCUUCCUGUGCCGCUCGCUGCUUCGCAAAGGCAAAUUCCCCGAGUACGCCUAUUUCCACCCCAUGGGACUGCCGGACUGCGUCGACGUGAACCUCAGCCGGCGUGCCUUUAUCAAGAAGGAGCAGCCCUUCAAGACGCCGAUGAGCACCAUCCUCAUGACGACGAAUCACUUCCGCGACUCGCACCACCCCUGGGUCUCACGGCGCACCGUUAACAUCGUCGGCGAGCAGUAUGUUGUACAUCCUAAAGAGGACAAGCAAUCGAUGGUGUUUGUGCUGCCGCCUGCCUACGUGCCCGAUGUGGUAAACACGUUGCAGGGCCUUGGAUUCGCUGUGGCCGACACGGUGACGGCCUCCAUUGGAGACGCGGCCAUCAUCAAUAAACUGAACAGCUGGAGCGACAAGUGCCAGCUGCUCGUGUUGGGGUAUCUCUGGUUUCUUUUGGCGCUCUUCAUCAUAGGCGAGAGCCGCCAUAUUCGUCAGCUCUUUCAAGACUACAAGCGAGAGUUGAUCGAGAAGGCAGGGAAGGACCCAGCAAAGAUGGGCCUGUAGGCACCGACGACAGCCAAGGAGGGGGAUGGAGAAGAGGUCUACCGCUCUCUCAAGCCCAGCGUGCGGCAGUGUCCCGACAUUCACUCUCGGCAUCUCCCUACUUCCUCUACGUCUGCUGUCGUGCAACCCGCCUCGUGGUCGCGCGCACGCGUGUAUCCGUGUGCGAAGAUAGACCACUGAAGCAGUCGAUUCGAGGACACGGCAGACCCUGACGACUGGGGGUGUAAAGGAAGGCAUAGCGCAUGAGGCAUCCUUGAUCUUCGCCUCAAGCGAGGGGCUCUCUUUUUGACAGCCCUCGCUGCAUCCUUCUCACACAUAUCGGGGCGCUCCAUUUUGCAUGGCGUGCUGCAAAAGUCGCAUUCUCUAUUGUCGUAAUCACGACAGCGCACUGAGAGAACCGCAACGCAAAACGGAGGCUGCAGCGUGGCGGUGCUGCUAUUGAACUUUUAAUUUAGAUAGCGCAUCUUCUCCUGAUACGUCACACUAUUACUGUCCCCAAUGCUACGAGUCGAUUGAGGAAGGCGGCGCUGCACCGAGUACGAGGCAUAGGCACCUCACCGUCUGCCUCCUCGUGUCUUGCACACGUUCGACACCCCCCCUUUUUCUCAUGUUUUCUCCAUCGAAGGCCUCCGGCCACUCAUGCGAUUCACGCAGGACUUGCUAUAUUCUUUCCACAUCACAUCUCCUCCUCUCUGGUACAAAAACAUCAG
This 1589-nucleotide unclassified non-coding RNA is filed under the name Leishmania donovani. Its description in RNAcentral is "gene:LdHU3.25.3040(CDS-product:hypothetical_prote in_conserved)". Lineage: Eukaryota; Euglenozoa; Kinetoplastea; Trypanosomatida; Trypanosomatidae. The record is from RNAcentral.